CUACGUGCCAGCAGCCGCGGUAAUACGUAGGGUGCAAGCGUUAAUCGGAAUUACUGGGCGUAAAGCGUGCGCAGGCGGUUCGGAAAGAAAGAUGUGAAAUCCCAGAGCUUAACUUUGGAACUGCAUUUUUAACUACCGAGCUAGAGUGUGUCAGAGGGAGGUGGAAUUCCGCGUGUAGCAGUGAAAUGSGUAGAUAUGCGGAGGAACACCGAUGGCGAAGGCAGCCUCCUGGGAUAACACUGACGCUCAUGCACGAAAGCGUGGGGAGCAAACAGGAUUAGAUACCCUGGUAGUCCACGCCCUAAACGAUGUCAACUAGCUGUUGGGGCCUUCGGGCCUUGGUAGCGCAGCUAACGCGUGAAGUUGACCGCCUGGGGAGUACGGUCGCAAGAUUAAAACUCAAAGGAAUUGACGGGGACCCGCACAAGCGGUGGAUGAUGUGGAUUAAUUCGAUGCAACGCGAAAAACCUUACCUACCCUUGACAUGUC
RNAcentral lists this ribosomal RNA (489 nucleotides) under uncultured bacterium. RNAcentral describes it as "bacterial SSU rRNA". It matches the Rfam family "Bacterial small subunit ribosomal RNA", at positions 501 to 990 of the family's 1533-position model. The record is from RNAcentral.